This 1486-nucleotide ribosomal RNA is filed under the name uncultured Bordetella sp. Its description in RNAcentral is "partial 16S-23S ribosomal RNA intergenic spacer". It matches the Rfam family "Bacterial small subunit ribosomal RNA". The record is from RNAcentral. Lineage: Bacteria; Pseudomonadati; Pseudomonadota; Betaproteobacteria; Burkholderiales; Alcaligenaceae.
UUUGAUUCUGGCUCAGAUUGAACGCUGGCGGGAUGCUUUACACAUGCAAAGUCGAACGGCGGCACGGACUUCGGUCUGGUGGCGAGUGGCGAACGGGUGAGUAAUGUAUCGGAACCAUGCUAAUGGCGAGGGGAUAACUACGCGAAAGCGUAGCCUAAUACCGCAUACGCCCUUCGGGAAAGCGGGGGACCUUCGGGCCUCGCACUAUGCAGAGCGGCCGAUAUCGGAUUGGCUAGUUGGUGGGGUAACGGCUCACCAAGGCGACGUUACCGUAGCUGGUUUGAAGAGGACGACCAGCCACCGGACUGGGUGGCCGCCCGAACUCCUACGGGAGGCAGCAGUGGGGAAUUUUGGACAAUGGGGAAACCCUGAUCCGUAUCCGUAUUGCGAUGAAGGCCUUCGGGUUGUAAAGCACUUUUGGCAGGAAAGAAACGGCACGGAGUAAUACCCCGUGCAACUGGCGGUGCACCUGCAGAAUAAGCACCGGCCCCAACUACGUGCCAGCAGCCACGCGGUAAUACGUAGGGUGCAAGCGUUAAUCGGAAUUACUGAAUAAAGCGUGCGCAGGCGGUUCGGAAAAGAAGAUGUAGAUCCCAGAGCUUAACUUUGGAAUUUGGCACGCUACCCGAGCUAGAGUGUGUCAGAGGAGGUGGAAUUCCGCGUGUAGCAGUGAAAUGCAUGAACGUCUGCGGAGGAACACCGAUGGCGAAGGCAGCCUCUGGGAUAACACUGACGCUCAUGCACGAAAGCGUGAGGGGGCAAACAGGAUUAAGAUACCCUGGUAGUCCGCUACAAACGAUGUCAACCAGCUGUUGGGACAGGUAUUUCGGGCCUUGGUAGCGCAGCUAACGCGUGAAGUUGACCGCCUGGGAGUACGGUCGCAAGAUUAAAACUCAAAGGAAUGACGGGGACCCGCACAAGCGGUGGAUGAUGUGGAUUAAUUCAGUGCAGCAUGAAAAGCCUUACCUACCCUUGACAUGUCUGGAGAUCCCGAAGAGAUUUGGGAGUGCCUCGCAAGAGAGAACCGGAACACAGGUGCUGCAUGGCUGUCGUAGCUCGUGUCGUGAAUGCCCAGGUUAAGUCCCGCAACGAGCACAACCAUAUCGCUAGUUGCUACGAAAGGGCCUCUAAUGAGACUGCCGGUGACAAACCGGAGGAAGGUGGGGAUGACGUCAAGUCCUCAUGGCCCUUGUGUUAGGGCUUCACACGUCAUACAAUGGUCGGGACAGAGGUCGCCAACCCGCGAGGAGCCAAUCCCAGAAACCCGAUCGUAGUCCGGAUCGCAGUCUGCAACUCGACUGCGUGAAGUCGGAAUCGCUAGUAAUCGCGGAUCAGCAUGUCGCGGUGAAUACGUUCCCAGGUCUUGUACACCGCCCGCAUCACCACCAUGGGAAUUAGGUUUUACCAGAAGUAGUUAGCCUAACCGUAAGGAGGGCGAUUACCACAUUAGGAUUCAUGACUGGGGGUGAAGUCGUAACUAAGGUAG